RNAcentral lists this ribosomal RNA (447 nucleotides) under uncultured bacterium. RNAcentral's name for it is "bacterial SSU rRNA". It matches the Rfam family "Bacterial small subunit ribosomal RNA", at positions 329 to 793 of the family's 1533-position model. The record is from RNAcentral.
UUCCAGACUCCUACGGGAGGCAGCAGUGGGGAAUAUUGCACAAUGGGGGAAACCCUGAUGCAGCGACGCCGCGUGAGUGAAGAAGUAUUUCGGUAUGUAAAGCUCUAUCAGCAGGGAAGAUAAUGACGGUACCUGAGUAAGAAGCCCCGGCUAACUACGUGCCAGCAGCCGCGGUAAUACGUAGGGGGCAAGCGUUAUCCGGAUUUACUGGGUGUAAAGGGAGCGUAGACGGCAUGGCAAGUCUGAAGUGAAAGCCCGGGGCUCAACCGCGGGACUGCUUUGGAAACUGUUAAGCUGGAGUGCAGGAGAGGUAAGUGGAAUUCCUAGUGCAGCGGUGAAAUGCGUAGAUAUUAGGAGGAACACCAGUGGCGAAGGCGGCUUACUGGACUGUAACUGACGUUGAGGCUCGAAAGCGUGGGGAGCAAACAGGAUUAGAUACCCCUGUAG